AAACUGGUUGAUCCUGCCAGUAGUCCUAUGCUUGCCUCAGAGAUUAAGCCAUGCAUGUCUAAGUACAUACCUUAAAAAAAUGAUACCGCGAAUGGCUCAUUAAAUCGAUUAUGGUUCUUUAGAUCAUAUAGGCUACAUAGAUAACUGUAGUAAGUCUAGAGAUAAUACAUGCAAUUAUGAUCAAACAUCAACUGAUAAUUAUGAGGUCAUCCAUUUUUUGGUAUAUGUGUGUGAAACAAGGUGACGAAUUCGAAUGUAAUCUAGUAAAACUUGUCUCUCCUUCCAUCAAAUAUCGGUUGACCGUUGUCUGAUCUGUAGGCUGAUAUGCCUUCGGCUAAUGCAUUGCACGAGCGCGUUU
Molecule: non-coding RNA, 358 nt
Filed under: Trichobilharzia regenti
Lineage: Eukaryota; Metazoa; Platyhelminthes; Trematoda; Strigeidida; Schistosomatidae
Description: Eukaryotic small subunit ribosomal RNA
Rfam family: Eukaryotic small subunit ribosomal RNA
Source: Rfam by way of RNAcentral